RNAcentral lists this ribosomal RNA (450 nucleotides) under Micrococcus sp. NMO-BY5. RNAcentral describes it as "bacterial SSU rRNA". It matches the Rfam family "Bacterial small subunit ribosomal RNA", at positions 1042 to 1483 of the family's 1533-position model. The record is from RNAcentral. Lineage: Bacteria; Bacillati; Actinomycetota; Actinomycetes; Micrococcales; Micrococcaceae.
UACAUGGUUGUCGGUCAGCUCGUGUCGUGAGAUGUUGGAUUUAAGUCCCCCAAUGAGCGCAACCCUCGUUUUAUGUUGCCAGCACGUAAUCGUGGGAACUCCAUGGGAUACUGCCGGGGUCAACUCGGAGGAAGGUGGGGAUGACGUCAAAUCAUCAUGCCCCUUAUGUCUUGGGGCUUCACGCAUGCUACAAUGGCCGGUACAAUGGGCUGCAAUACCGUGAGGUGGAGCGAAUCCCAAAAAGCCGGUCCCAGUUCGGAUUGAGGUCUGCAACUCGACCUCAUGAAGUCGGAGUCGCUAGUAAUCGCAGAUCAGCAACGCUGCGGUGAAUACGUUCCCGGGUCUUGUACACACCGCCCGUCAAGUCAUGAAAGUCGGUAACACCUGAAGCCGGUGGCCUAACCCCUUGUGGGAGGGAGCUGUCGAAGGUGGGAUCGGUAAUUAGGACUU